This 767-nucleotide long non-coding RNA is filed under the name Homo sapiens (human). RNAcentral describes it as "long intergenic non-protein coding RNA 3076". Lineage: Eukaryota; Metazoa; Chordata; Mammalia; Primates; Hominidae. The record is from RNAcentral.
AGCAUUAUUCUCUUGGAUUCACCUUUGCAAAGAAUUGAACAAAAUAGAAGCCAAAGAAGUAGACAGAAAAUAAAUCAAUCCACUCUGCUCAAAGAGCACACAGUCUAAUGAAGAUGAUGAACAUGAAGUCAACUUCGUAGUGUUGAGAGCACUGUUUCUCCAGAGCAGCACUUCUCAUCAGGGGCUGCACGUUAGACUUACCUGGGGAGUAUACAUAAGUUCAGAUGCCCAGGCUGUACUUCAGAAUCUCUGGAGCUCUAUGCAACUCAUUUUCAUCUAGCAUUACCUCUCCAAAACCUGAAUCUCCACAAGAAAGCCACACAGCAAUUAACCAGUGUUGCAAGAACUGCUUCUGUAAUAAAGGUGGGAAGACAAAUUGAUGCAACCCUCUUGAAAAGCAAUCUGGCAAUAUGAACCAAGAGCCAUGAAAAGGCUUAUGCUAUUAUAAUUAAAUGGCUGUAAUGUUGGCUGUAAAUAUGAAAUUUUCUUUCACACACCAAUGUUUUCAAGAAUGGCAUAUUCACAUGCAGUAUGUGAUGAAAGAAGCAGUAAAGGAUGCUAACAAAGCUAUUUCUUUGGACAAUCUGAACCUGAUGAGAAAAUUGAAGCCAACAGAAGUUAACUAACUUGCCUAAAAUAACACAGCUGUGGCAAAUUAGGACCAGAACCAAGGUCUCCUGACCUAAGUGCUACUCCCACCAUACUACAUGAUCUGCUGUUUAAAAUUUUGGUGAGCUUUAUAACAUAAAUAAAACUACAGAUGUGAA